UUUGUUGUCUAGUCUAUUUCAGCCUCAUUCAGAUCAAGAUGAUGGAUCUAUUCCUUAUUAUUAUUUUUUGGGUUUUACCAUUUAACAUUAUUUCUUCAUCCAGCUGUCUCAAGGGUUUCUAAAAAUUCAGCUCUAGACUGCAGAUGAGGGCAAGGACUUCAUAGAAGUGAAAUUCUAUUACACAAAUGACUUAUCCAAAACUUUUCAGAGUCUAAUUGUGAAAGGCUUUCAUGAAGAAGUUUGUAAGAAUAAUUGUGUUAUCUCUGAAAAGCUGAGCAUCUUGAUUUCUCAGCCCUGCAUUACUCUGUCAUCAAAAGAGUUUUUCUGUCAGCACAUGAGCUUUUCUCUAUGUGUCAGUGACAAACAUGUUGGCUCCAUUUCCACUGCAGAAGAACCACACUUCAAUGCACAGUUGCAAUAAAUGGACAAAUAAAAUACUGGAAGUGUUUUGAAGCAUAGAAAUGAAGACUACACACUCAGAAACAGCUCCAACUAGUGUAAAACACAACAGCCCAUCUGCUCAGCCAUAGAUGUUACUGUGAAAACAUCAGCCUUUGUCUCAACCCUCUACACCACAACCUACUGGGCAGAGAAUCAUUUUGGUCUUCUCACCAACCAAUAAACCAGAUACAAAUUCAAUGCAUUGUCACCACCACGAGGAACUCCUCAGCUCCAGGGGAUAGAAGAAGUCCCUACAGCAGGACUUUUUGGAGAUGUCCCCUCUGAGUACCUCAGGUGGAACACGUGUGGAUGGUAGAAAGCAGCUUUGUUUCAGUACAGGCACAACAGGACUGGGAAUAUCAGCUGUGACAGGCACUGGCAAACUGUGCUGGUUGCUGUACCUGACCAAGCACAGUGAAAUGGACUGAUGGAUAAUCACCUCCACCCUCUGACCCACCAAAUGAUGAGGUACAACUCUGUGCUAAGGGAAAUCUUAACUAUGUGGCUUGCUGGGUGUGGAAGUUUGGCCAUGAGAGGAACAUCCACUGCAAGAAGUAAAAUCAAUUUAUGCAAGCCUAUUUAACUUCAGUAAGAUCUUCAUACCCAGAAAAGUCAUUUUUGUGAUCUACAAAUAACAAAGCCAUUUUGGGUACAAAUUUGAAAAAAAAAAUACAUAAAUAUGUGUACAUAUGAAUAUGUGUGAGUGUGCCAUUUGAGACAAGAAAAGAACAGGUCAUCAUUGUUGUGAUUUUAACUUUUUAGUUACUUAAAUCUCUUUUUAUAUUUAUACUGUAACACAAGCUGUCUUAUUGAACAGAUUAUUCUGAUACAUUUUUCCUUUUUGAAUUAUUAGUAAGUAUAUGACAAUUAUUCAGGGAAUCAAAUUAUUCAUUUCUUCCAGGAAAAGUAAAACCCAAAGACUAGGAAAGGAAAAUAUUAAACAAACAUCAUAUAAUGCUUGGAUCCUAAUACAUCCCAGUAAUAAUUUUUUUUCUCUACUGAAUUCCUUGAAGGAGAAUAAAGACAAAAAUAUAACUCUACAAAAGAUUUGAAAAUGUCUUAUGGUGAAGUAAUCAAAAUGCUUCCUGUGUACUAAAAUAUUUCAUUGGCUGCUAGAAACACUUUACAAUAUAAAAAGUUAAAUCAUAACAUGUUUGAAGUAAAUUACAUUAAUAUUAAAUAUUCCUGUUCAGUUCAAUGAGGAAUAGGACUUCAUCAAUAGCUCUUUCAUCAUUUUCUUCAGGUAUUUUGGUGGCUUUUUGUCUCUGAUUUGCACAGAAAGUGUUCCCAAGCUUACUAAAAUUAGCGCAACUCUCUUCCACAAUUUCUUGUCAUCCUGGUGCGUCUGGGAUCAGGCCCAGAAAGAGGAAGGAAUGUCUCUCUGGAGAAAAGAUAAAGCAUAUGAAAUUGGGGCAAAAGAGAAGUCUCAGGAAAAACACAGGAAAAACCAUUGCACAGCUCAGGCUUAACCUUCCCUGGAGCAGCCAGGUCAGCAGGGCUGGGGGAAGCCGUUCUCAACCCAGCAGAGCCCUCUUCCCAUCAGAGACAACCAACAGGAGAAACUGGAGAAAGCUUCAAUCCCCAGGCUCCCAGAGCCUUCCUCACAGAGCUUCCCACAAAAAGGCAUGGAGAUUUCAUAUCAUCAGCUGCUCAAUUUCAUGCACCUUUGGAGGGCACUUAAUCAUGUACAUCAACAGAGGCAACACUCAAAGUUUUCUAGAAUAUUUCUGUUCCCCAAAUAGAUACUUGAGCAACAAGGAUUUCAUUUAUUUAUUAUCUGUAUUACCUUUAGUUCUACUAUUUGCUUUUAACAUAGUACAAAUAAGUUAUUGGAGGAGAGGUAAUAUACCUUUGGGUAAUAUUCAAAGAUUUCCUGGAGUCUGUAACAUACAAAUAUCAGAUUUAUUUUAUUAAUCCCAGUAAAAGGAUUUUUGGAAAAAAAAAUAUAAAAAGAGCUUAUACAAGAGAAUACAAUAGGAUAUAAAAGAUACUUAUAGUCCGACAUUCCAGAAAAUAUUGUAGUGAUAUCAUUAAUGGUUUUUCCUUUAGGGAAAAUAACAUCACUACGCUUCAUCUCUAUGUUUUACAGCUAAGUUGCUUGUGCUUGUUCAGCAGAAACAGUUUACAAGAGUUCAGUUCAGCACAUAUUUGAACUACAUCAGCAUCCAUGUAAAUAAACUGUAGGACUGUCUUUCAUGUAAAUGGGUGCCUUUUUGAUUGAAUGGACAGCACACUAGUUGUUAGCCGAUGAUGGAAACAUAUCUCACCAAUAUUUAAUUAUAGCUCUGGAAAGGUUUUUUCUUUUUCAAAUCAGAACUGUUUUGACAUAGUGUGUUCUCUUGAGUGCUGUUAGUUUGUUACAUAGCUAAAGAUUUCAGAUAACUGGUCAUAAUUAGAAGACGUGAGUACAUGAUUCACGUGUUGUUAAUUAAACUUGUUAAUAACUCUUAAAGCUUUUUUAUGGAACUGGCAGCUACCUGGGAACUCAGUACAUGAUAGUUUGCACCUGUAAAUGUGAUGCAGAUGACACACAAUUCAGAAGACCAUCUGGUGAGGGGAAAAUGUGAUUUUCACAACAGGGAAUAGGGAGCACUGGAAAAAACCCAAAACAUCCCAGCCUGGAAAGGAGACUCUCCACCCCUCUUUGUUUUCCCUUUUCUAAAUGCAAAGAUGUUUCCUGAAGGCAGGUACUAAGGAAGGUUUUACUAGCACACUAAACAACACAGAAAAGCACAGAUGAACAAGAAAUACAAGAAUUGUGAAAUGAUGCAGCAUCACAGACCUCUCUACAGAAUUGCAAAUUAGAGAAAUAAGCAAUCCUGAGAAGACCAGAAACUAUUCAUUAACUGAAAAAAUUUAAUCCAGAGUAGAAUAGUUAUUUUCAGUAAUAUUCAGAGGUUUGUUGCACAAAGCCCAAUUUGAGAUAAUUAGCAAUGAUCAAUCUUUCUUUCAUUAUACCCCAGUUUUGACUGUAGUGGGAAUUCAGGGUGUGUAAGACAAACUCAACUGAAGAAACAUGAGGUGAUUAAAAAUUAAAUAAAUUUAAUCUAUUUUGUUUAAGGCUGAUAUUAUAGUGUACUUUCUUACAUAACAAAGCAGAUCAUGGAGAACAUACAUGAACAGCUGAGUAUUGAAAAAUUAGUAAGUGCAAAAACAUUAAAGAGAAAGAUAGCCAAUGCCAGAUCCUAAUAUAUAUGUGAAAGUCUGCAGUCUUAUUCAGUAGUAAGUAACAAUGACUGGAAGAUAGUCCACCAUCUCACCUUGUUCAGUGAAGGCAGAAGAAAAAUGUUGCCUACCAAAUCUAAAUGGUCCUACAAUACUCUCUUCAACAAAGAGACAAAGUCGAGCCUUAGAAAAGAUCCGUUAAGAGUGGUAAUUAGACCAGUCAUUAAGUGAAAAAAGUGACAAAUAUGAGAGAAGAUAAGACAGAGUUACUAGGUGAAGGAGCACAUUUCUUUCUUCCUUCUGCUUCUCAUGAAAACAAGACACUAUCCAACACUCACCCACUUCUGAUUGCAGUAGGGUAUUUUAUUCAAAGAAUCCUAAAUCUCUGCCCUAUAUGUGAAUUUCCUGUUAAAGCCUUUGUUGGACAUCAAUACUGCACUAUUUUCAUCUAGUUGUAGACUUUGAAAAUGGCUGAGCCAGACAAAUGCUGCUUUUUGUGGAUACAUUAGUAUCUAUGUCUGGGAAAGCAGACAGUCACUGCCGUGCUUUGCUCCAUAAAAAGCAAG
Long non-coding RNA from Parus major (Great Tit), 4172 nucleotides. RefSeq lists it as uncharacterized. The record is from RefSeq and is a predicted model, not a curated record. Lineage: Eukaryota; Metazoa; Chordata; Aves; Passeriformes; Paridae. The transcript is spliced from 4 exons.